Long non-coding RNA from Poecilia latipinna (sailfin molly), 857 nucleotides. RefSeq lists it as uncharacterized. NCBI's taxonomy places the organism in Eukaryota, Metazoa, Chordata, Actinopteri, Cyprinodontiformes, Poeciliidae. The record is from RefSeq and is a predicted model, not a curated record. The transcript is spliced from 2 exons.
UUCUUUCUUCCAGGAAAUGGAAGACAGUUUGGAUGAAGCCUUUUCCAGACUGGCAGCAUCGCGUACUAACCCCCAGGUCUUGGACAUUGGGGUGAUGCCCCAAGACUGGCUCACCGAACCUGACUGGGACAGCACUGACGGAAGCCCUCACCACUGUUUCAGCGCACACAAAGAUGAUCCCUUUGGUUUCUGAUAACUGAUCUCGGCACAGCAGAGAAGGAAGGGCGGAAACUUUCCUUCCUUUAACGUAAUGCAAGAUUUACCAAGAGGCAACAGUGAGAGCACAAGGGAACAAGCGUGGUCCUCGCUUCUGCACUUUUCCCAUGCGUAGUUCUUCCUUGUACUCGGUCUGCUGCAUCUGCGCACCAAAGCAAUAAUAACAUCCCAUAUUAACACUACGUAUAAUCUGCUGUUACGCUGCAAACGACCUGUAGUGGAGUCUUUCAGCAUAAUCAGCAUAUGAUGCAGCAUUUGUUCACCUAAUCAGUAUUUGUGGCCGCAGAAGUAACAUGUAUGUGCUUUGGUUACAUUGUAUAGUUACAGUUUUUUUGUUAAAUGCAUAAAGUAGGACAGUUUAACCUGAAAAUCAGAUGACAAACCUUAACAAGGUAAUUACUGUUUUCAGUUGUUAUUCACUUCCUUCAUGGAUUUAUUGUGUAGUUUUGGCCUUCCUUUGCCAACACAUAUUCUUCUGUGUAUAAUCUGAAAUUUUAUUCUAUUUAUUUAUGUCCUUUGCAUAUUGUAGUAUGCCUAUAUUUCUCACUGAUGCAAUGAAAAUUCAUGUUGAAUGACCAUCUUAAUGAACGUUUUUUAAUCAACCGGCUUUGUACAGGAAUAAAAUGUAUUAAUUAAAUGCA